GUUUCUUUGUUAUUCUCUGCUCAAAAACAUCAUCCACCCAACACCUACCAAAUCAAUUAAUAUUGGAAGGAAACUCUUUCCUUUUGUUUUUCCUUCAUUCUCCCUCCUGCCAAACACAAUCAGACAAUACUGCAGUGAUGGUGAUACUUAGCUUCUCUUCUCCUACUUACUAAAAAAUAUAAUCUAAACAGGUAAAUUCUUCUUCGGCUUGUCAGUUUGAUUUUGUAUCGAAUAAAUCUAGGUUUAUUCAAUUCGGAUUUAAGUUGUUUUGGAUUUACGCGGUUUGAGUUUAAAAGUCUGGGUCAUUAUAAUAAUUUACUCAGACCAUAUUUUUUAGUUCAAAUUGAUCGAUAUAGGUUUUCGAGUUUUAGUCCAAAUUUACAGGUGUAAAACAAUCCCAUAUCUAUCCUCUUAGUACUGAGUACUGACCCACGCCCUUCUCUCUUUCAUUCCCUUCAAAAGUACCAAAGAGGGGGAAGAAGUAAUCCAGCCAUCUGUAUACACAUAUGUACAAAAGCAAAAUGAAACUAAAAUAUUUGGAAUUAAAAGCUUUAAAAUUAAACAAUUUUACAAACGUAGAGAAUCAAGCUAACAACUUGACAGCUCCUCUUUUGCUUGCAUUUGUAUGUCUAUCAAUACCCAAAACAAGGGAAAGAAGUUUUACGAGAAAAAUAAUACAGUUACAGCUACAUAUCAAGGGAAUUACAUACAAUCCCUUUCGCUAGGUUGUUUCCUCAAAAAGAAAAAAAGAAUGCAAAACAUGCAAUUAUUCUGUUGACUAAUGACCUUUCCGAGUUGUGUAUAGGAAGUUGUAUUUUUAAGGCAGUGGUAUUAUGUAUGCUUAAUCCUUCAUAUUGCAAUCAAAUUUUGUUUCCUAGAACUUUGAAAAGUUUUAUGUAAUCUUUUGUGUUUCUUUUCCCCAGACAUUGAUGAUCCUUACACAAGGAGAAGCAAUGUUUACUAUAUCUUGUCUGCGCAUUGUCCUGUUCUUGGAUCAUGACAUUUUGGCUCUGGCAAACAAUAUUCCAGCAAAUAAACCUGGAAGAAGCAUGCAUU
Molecule: long non-coding RNA, 1056 nt
Filed under: Gossypium barbadense (sea-island cotton)
Lineage: Eukaryota; Viridiplantae; Streptophyta; Magnoliopsida; Malvales; Malvaceae
Description: long non-coding RNA (GBAR_LNC015075)
Source: RNAcentral